Molecule: ribosomal RNA, 506 nt
Filed under: uncultured bacterium
Lineage: Bacteria
Description: partial 16S ribosomal RNA
Rfam family: Bacterial small subunit ribosomal RNA
Source: RNAcentral
AGUGAACGCUGGCGGUAGGCCUAACACAUGCAAGUCGAACGGCAGCACAGGAGAGCUUGCUCUCUGGGUGGCGAGUGGCGGACGGGUGAGGAAUACAUCGGAAUCUACUUUUUCGUGGGGGAUAACGUAAGGAAACUUACGCUAAUACCGCAUACGACCUACGGGUGAAAGCAGGGGAUCUUCGGACCUUGCGCGAUUGAAUGAGCCGAUGUCGGAUGAGCUAGUUGGCGGGGUAAAGGCCCACCAAGGCGACGAUCCGUAGCUGGUCUGAGAGGAUGAUCAGCCACACUGGAACUGAGACACGCUCCAGACUCCUACGGGAGGCAGCAGUGGGGAAUAUUGGACAAUGGGCGCAAGCCUGAUCCAGCCAUACCGCGUGGGUGAAGAAGGCCUUCGGGUUGUAAAGCCCUUUUGUUGGGAAAGAAAUCCAGCUGGUUAAUACCCGGUUGGGAUGACGGUACCCAAAGAAUAAGCACCGGCUAACUUCGUGCCAGCCGCCGCGGUAA